Molecule: ribosomal RNA, 373 nt
Filed under: uncultured organism
Description: partial 16S ribosomal RNA
Rfam family: Bacterial small subunit ribosomal RNA
Source: RNAcentral
GUAGGUGGCAAGCGUUGUCCGGAAUUAUUGGGCGUAAAGCGCGCGCAGGCGGUUCUUUAAGUCUGAUGUGAAAGCCCACGGCUCAACCGUGGAGGGUCAUUGGAAACUGGAGAACUUGAGUACAGAAGAGGAAAGCGGAAUUCCACGUGUAGCGGUGAAAUGCGUAGAGAUGCGGAGGAACACCAGUGGCGAAGGCGGCUUUCUGGUCUGUAACUGACGCUGAGGCGCGAAAGCGUGGGGAGCAAACAGGAUUAGAUACCCUGGUAGUCCACGCCGUAAACGAUGAGUGCUAAGUGUUAGGGGGGUUUCCGCCCCCCUUAGUGCUGCAGCUAACGCAUUAAGCACUCCGCCUGGGAGUACGGCCGCAAGGCUG